GCCAGGCGUGGUGGCACGUGCCUGCAGUCCCAGCUACUCGGGAGGCUGAGGAGGGAGGAUCGCUUGAGCCCAGGAGUUCUGGGCUGUAGUGCACUAUGCCGAUCGGGUGUCUGCACUAAGUUUGGCAUCAAUGUGGUAUCUCCCGGGAGUGGGCGACCACCAGGUUGCCUAAGGAGUGAACUGACCCAGGUCGGAAACGGAGCAGGUCAAAACUCCCAUGCUGAUCAGUAGUGGGAAAGCGCCUGUGAAUGGCAACUGCACUCCAGCCUGGGCAACACAGCGAGACCCCGUCUCUU
Molecule: unclassified non-coding RNA, 296 nt
Organism: Callithrix jacchus (white-tufted-ear marmoset)
Lineage: Eukaryota; Metazoa; Chordata; Mammalia; Primates; Cebidae
Rfam family: Metazoan signal recognition particle RNA
About the family: The signal recognition particle (SRP) is a universally conserved ribonucleoprotein. It is involved in the co-translational targeting of proteins to membranes.
Source: Ensembl